Molecule: non-coding RNA, 696 nt
Organism: Chiloscyllium plagiosum (whitespotted bambooshark)
Lineage: Eukaryota; Metazoa; Chordata; Chondrichthyes; Orectolobiformes; Hemiscylliidae
Source: RefSeq, a predicted model, not a curated record
AGGGAGUGGGUCCUGUGGGAGGGUCAGUACUGAGGGAGUGGGCCCUGUGGGAGGGUCAGCACUAUAGACAAUAUCAGCACCAAUAAGACUCCCCCUCCUCCCCCCAGUUUAGCAGGAUCUUGCUUUGUGAUAAUUCCCAGGUGAGUUCCUGGUCAGUGCUGUGUCUGUGAGCUCUCCAGCCCAUCCUCUCUCUCUACCUUCCUCUGCAGGACAGUCAGGACCUUUACAGCGACUGCCUGCGGACCUUCUGGUCCUGCCCGACAUGUGACCUGUACGCGCCCCUGACACCCCUGGAGCGCAUGGGCCACGAGGCAAGCUGCGGAGCCAAGGAACCCGGCUCGCCCGACCUCGGUCUCGAAGGGGCCCCCCCGGCGCCGUCCGCCCUCCAGGUCUCCUACCGCUGCCAGGUCUGCCAGCAGGACUUCCUCUUCACCCCCACGCAGGCCCUGAGGCACAAGAGGCAGCACGCCCAAAGGGAGGGCACGUAACACGGAACACCGUCCCCCUGCCCGCGGGGACACUCCAGCAACAAUGCCACGUUGCGAGGGGGAGCUCGAUCGUCAGAGGCCGUCCAUCUUGUUUGCAAAAACAAAAAUGGGAGUGUUCUAUGCCACUCGAGGCUGUCACAGCAGCGUGACUGUUUACAUAGAUUUGUAACCUUGGAGGUUUUUCGCAAAGAAACACUGAUGGCCACCA